This is a non-coding RNA of Onchocerca flexuosa, 219 nucleotides long. NCBI's taxonomy places the organism in Eukaryota, Metazoa, Nematoda, Chromadorea, Rhabditida, Onchocercidae. The record is from Rfam.
CUGAAGAUUCCCUCAGGAUAACUGGAGUACUUGAUAAAGCAGUUGCAUUCGGUAAAGCGCAUGAUUAGAGGAAUUGCGGGACGAAUCAUCUUCAACCUAUUCUCAAACUUUCAAUGAGUGUGACGUCUUGCUUAUUUGGAUGAUGAUUAACAUUGAAUAUGCUCCAAAUGGUCAUUUUUGGUAAGUGGAACUGGCGCUUGGGAUGAAUUAUGCAGUAAG